RNAcentral lists this ribosomal RNA (253 nucleotides) under uncultured bacterium. Its description in RNAcentral is "partial 16S ribosomal RNA". It matches the Rfam family "Bacterial small subunit ribosomal RNA", at positions 524 to 776 of the family's 1533-position model. The record is from RNAcentral.
UACAGAGGGUGCAAGCGUUGUUCGGAAUUAUUGGGCGUAAAGGGCGCGUAGGCGGUGCGGUAAGUCUGUAGUGAAAUCUCUGGGCUCAACUCAGAGUCUGCUGCAGAAACUGCCGUGCUUGAGUGUGGGAGAGGUGAGUGGAAUUCCCGGUGUAGCGGUGAAAUGCGUAGAUAUCGGGAGGAACCCCAGAGGCGAAGGCGGCGCUCUGGCUCGCAACUGACGCUCAGACACGACAGCAUGGGGAGCGAACGGG